RNAcentral lists this long non-coding RNA (19046 nucleotides) under Solanum tuberosum (potato). Its description in RNAcentral is "long non-coding RNA (STUB_LNC002264)". The record is from RNAcentral. Lineage: Eukaryota; Viridiplantae; Streptophyta; Magnoliopsida; Solanales; Solanaceae.
AAACAUCAAUGGUGUAAGAAACCCUUCCACUCAUUCAAAGGAUGUCUAUAAGUAAGCCUCGUCCUGAUGAUGAUAUAACCUAAACUCUUUCCUAGACUACCAAUCAAUAUAUGUUAUGUAGAGAUUUGAUUAUAAUAAUUACCUUAGUCGUAAAUAAUAAGAUGAUUGUGUAAAUAUUUUCAAGACGAAUAGUAUAGUAAUAACAUAAACUCAUACUAUAACAAUAUGUAGGUUAUAUUGAAUGCUUGAGGAGGGACAUAGAAAUGAAGAAAUUCGUCUGUCAUGAUCCUUGUCAAGAAACCAACAUCAUCAUCAUUACCCAUGGACUAUCCAGUCGGAUCUUCCUCAUGAAAUGGUUCGACUGGACGGUUGAGCAAUUUGAGGUUCUCAAUAGGAUGAGAACUGGUGAAUUUCAAGUGUUGCAAUUAGGGCAUGGCGGGGAACUCUUUUUUAGACUAUCAAUCAAUAUCUGUUAUGUAGAGAUUUGAUUAUAAUAAUUACCUUAGUCGUAAAUAAUAAGAUGAUUGUGUAAAUAUUUUCAAGACGAAUAGUAUAGUAAUAGCAUAAACUCAUACUAUAACAAUAUGUAGGUUAUAUUGAAUGCUUGAGGAGGGACAUAGAAAUGAAGAAAUUCGUCUGUCAUGAUCCUUGUCAAGAAACCAACAUCAUCAUCAUUACCCAUGGACUAUCCAGUCGGAUCUUCCUCAUGAAAUGGUUCGACUGGACGGUUGAGCAAUUUGAGGUUCUCAAUAGGAUGAGAACUGGUGAAUUUCAAGUGUUGCAAUUAGGGCAAGGCGGGGAAUACAGCCUAGCAUUUCAUCAUGAUGACAAAAAACUUCGCGAAUGGGGACUAUCUCCUGAUAUGAUAGAGGAUCAAAAAUGUAAAGCUUAUGGUCCUACAGGAGUUAAAUGGCAGGGAACUUGUGAUUCAUAUCCUUUCAUGGAUUGUUUUGCAGAAGAUUCAGAUGAUGAGAAUACAUUAUCUAAAUUAUAAGUACUAGCUAGCUAGUAAUCGUCCCUUUUAAGUAAAAUUAUGGUGUAAUUGGAUUGUUAUUAACUUAAACUCCCUCUCUGUUUUAGUCUUUACCUGUAUGCUAAAUUUGAUUGUUAUUAACUAUAUAUUCUCUUAUUUUAAAGAACUACAUCUUCUUAAUAACUUUCCAUUCUUAAGGAACACCUAAUAAAUAGAGGUAACUUAUAGUUAUAAUGAACGUGAAAUAAGCUAAAAUGAUACUUAUUUUGGGACGAGACGGAGAGUAGGUUUCAACUUUUCACAUUUGCUUUACUAAUUAGGAUUAUGAGGUCGACAAAUUCUGUUGUCUUCUUCUUUCUUUUUAAAAUAUGAAAUUUGUUUGCGUGGAUUUGAAUUUGAAAGAGUUUGGCAUGAUUGUUACUCUUUUUUAUUUGUUUCUUUUCCUUUUGCUUUCUAUACUUUUAGUUUAUGGUGGGUGUCCUUUGAAUUAGUAAAAUAUUUAUAUAUUUUUCAAUUCCUUUUCCCUUUCUUUAUGUCAGUAUUAUUUCAUUUUACCUGUCUGAAUUCUCAUUCAACAAAUCACACAGUACUGGCUCUCAAUAUAUAUAUUCCCAUGGGAUAAGGACCCCUUCAACAUAAAAUUCGACAAGUCCUUUAGGAACAACACUUUUAACAUGCGAUAAGAGGGCCGAAUAUGCUCUGAACUAUGCGAAAAGGAAUAAUUUUACCCCUAGAUUAUGAAUUUAACGGUACACUUCUACAAAUCUGUUUAUGUCUGUCCUGUUGGUAUGUAGGCUCAGAAGAUUCAUUGGUGCAAGAAAGACAUAAACCUUUUACUCAAACAAAAUCCAGUCAUGUACUGUAACUGUCUCUAUAGUUGUCCAUUAGGCAGCUACCUAAAAUUAAGCAGGCAACUCGACCUGUCUUAUGUCUAAUCUUACAAGUUCACCAAGUCCAGGUAGUGUUUUCUCCCUAAAAAAUCACAAACUUUAGCAGUUACCAACCAUGGAUGUGGUACAGUGGUGAACUGCUUCACCAUUAAACAUACCUUAGAAGUUUUGGGUUCGAGCCCUGAAUAUGGAGAAAAUCUUAUUUAAACUGCGCGAUUCAAAUUUAGUCAGACUCCAAUGGGACCCGUGAGGGAAACAAAAAUAAAAUAAAAAAUCUAGGUAGCGAUACUAUAGUUAUACUCAUUUUUUUUUUCUUUAAUGGCUUUUAUUAAUUAAUUUAUUUAUUUUUAAAUUUAAACAAGGCUAAUAGCCUGUUUCGCCAAAUUCUUAAGAAGUUAAAAAUGUUUAUUUUAGAAAAUUUAGGUAUUUGGUCAAGUUUUUAGGAAAAAAUGUAAGUGAUUUAAGUAGUAGUAAUAAAUAAGUAGUUUUUUCAAAAAUUGUUACUUACACUUUUUUUUUAAAAAAAAAUACAUCUUUCCAUUUUAGGGACAAACAAAUUGAUACGACAUUUAUUACUUUUUUCAGGACAAGUGAAUAAUUACUUACAAAUUUGGGGACCACGUAGGAACACUAAAUGACAUACGUGGACCAGAUUGAUUGGUCUACUGAAUAACUCUAUUUUCCCGGUUUUGAUUAAAGUUUAAUUUGGAUUGUGAUUAGCACUAAAACACAUCCAUUGUUAGUGUUUGAAUGAUGAUCAAACGCUACCUUUGCUAUUUUAAAAAAGCAGAGACUUGUUCUUCACUACCUAAUUCCUUCUAUUUUCUCUCUUCUACAAAUGUUGCAUUAUGUUUAACCAACUCCAUAUAUUUCGUCUCUCUUUUUUGGGAUCUGAGUUACUUUUACUUUUCCUAAUCCACUAAAGCUAAUCACUAUUUGUGUUUUUUUCUCUCUCUCUGUAUUUUGGAUUUCAAGAAAGAGUUUGAAUACUACUCACUACAAUCAUUUGUGUGCUUGCUUAUACAUUCUUUUCGUUUGGUGGGUUGCAAGGCAUUAGGAUAUAGACCCAUUUUGUGAAGUGGGUUUUUGUUUAGACUUGCUCAAAUGAUUGAGUUUGAGUUUCAGAUUAUUAGAAAGUUUUGAUCUUUUUGACACAGGUAUGGAAAAUGUGUGUUUUUUUGGGUGUUUGAUAUGUGGGUUUCAGUGAAAAUCUGAAAAAUUGGGUGGGUGUUUGAUAUGUGGUUUUCAGUGAAAAUUUGAAAAAAUGGGAUUUUCAGAUUUGUAGUUUUGUUGUCUUUUUCUUGAUUUUGUUUUGAAAUUGAAAUCUGGUUUGGGUUGUUUGCUUGCUUGUUUGUUUUGUGUACUGACAGUUGGGUUUUGGAACUUUUGUUGUGUGUUUUAGGGGCACUUUUAUGGCUUAUCCAUCAGACCAUAGGUCCUCUAGUCGUGGGACUGUGAGAUUUGUUUUGGUUCUGGUGGGUUUGUUUUUGGUUAUUUACAUGGUGACAACACCAACAUUGCGGCACUCUAAGGCUUUGUCUUCAUGUCCUCCAUGUUUCUGUGAUUGUGAGGAGGAUCCCAUGUUCUCGCCUAUAGGUCAGUUUAUCUCUCUUUGGAUGCUAAAUCUUGCUCAUCUACCUUUGAAAUUGUGUAGGUUGUGUACUUAUGUUGGCUGAUUUGAUUCUAAUGACUAAAAGUAAUGCCUUUUACAUAUUGAGACACUUAGUUCAUUUAAAGUUGAGUUUCUGCUUUUAGUAAGAAGUGAUAUUGUUUAAGGUCUAUGUAUGAACAAUUUGAUUAAGAAAACUUGUAUAGCCUUCAUGGGGUUGCUUGUCAUCCAAAUUGGUGAACUAUGGUCCAUUUUUGUAAUAAGUAUUAACCAAUUGAAUAAACUGGCAGGAUUCUCAAUUAAUAGUACCUUAUUUUUACCACUUAUAGAAGGUGGAGAAUGAACUAUAACUAAAUAUUAGAAGGAAUUCAUGUGAGUUGAAAACUUUUUGGUUCUUCCACAGGAGGAAGAACUGGAAAUAGACACAAAACCAUUCAUCCUAGCUCUAUUUUUGUUCAAAUGAAAUGCUUAGCCAAUUUCAUGCAUCAACCAAAAGGUCAUUUCUAAGUCGAUAUGUUCUUAUUGAGUAUGGCUAGAGAAUAUUCAUGACAGAAGUAACAGGAAUGAGUGAGCUGUCUUGUAUAUUUAAAGACUAUAUACAAAAAUCAAAUGCUUCGUAUUAUUAUACUUCCAUAUACAUAGCGAGGAUUUCAUACAGUCAAUCUUAAGUUAGGUCUUUCUAGAAUCCUCAAGAACUAAGUGAAUUUGCUUAGAAUUGCUGCAGGUUACUAUUCAUAAUAAAAUAAUUUUUAAUUACACAAAAUAUAUAUGAUUUAUUUUUUUUAAAAAUCUUUUUUUCUUUCGCUCCAUACCAAGUCAUACCAAUUCAUAUUAGUUGAAACGAAGGGAGUAAUCAUUACAAAAAUAAGCUGACUUCUUAAGUAUAUCAUUUUUUUUAAUUAUAUACAUCACGCUAAUAUUUGUAUUUCUAUUUUUGCAUCUUUCUUAUUUUAUCUACAAAUGACAAAUACAACGCGAAGUUGAAAAUCACACGUUCAAAAAUUCAAAUUCAAAUGUUAAUCCAUCACGUUCCCACUUCCAGCAAUGAACUAGAGGCUUGCAGACUAGUGUGUGGGGUGUGUAGCUACAUUAUGGCCAUGCUGGCCUAGUUUGUUAGUUUGUUGAAGCUUGUGAGUUGUUUGAUGUAUUGUCUUGACAUAUACAUGCUUUCAGUUUUGGUAUAGAAAUCAUGGUGGCCUCGACGUCCCAAUCAGGGUUUCUGUGCUAGUUUGCUAUUUCUUUAUAUGAACUCUUGGGAGUAGCUGUUUCGUUUAUAGAUCUGUUGACAGGGACCUUGUCGGCCGAGGGCUUAGUUUUAAGCCGAGAUAUACUUGUUUAUUUUAUUGAUUGUGUGUGACUGCCAUAUGCUAGUAGCAAAUAGUUCAGCAGGGUCAGCUCGGGCCUGAGUUUUGGCAUUAGGAGCCAGUUGCGCCCCUUGAGUUUGGGGCGUGACAGUUUUUGUGUGAGUUUUGAAUACUCCCUCGAAAAUUUAUAUGAUUCACUUUUCUUUUGAGUUAUUUCCAAAAAAAUGAAAUAUAUUUUUUAUAUUUAGUAACAAUUUAACUUUAAAAUACUCAUUUUAUUCAUAAUAAAAUAAUUUUUAAUUACACAAAAUAUAUAUGAUUUAUUUUUUUUAAAAAUCUUUUUUUCUUUCGCUCCAUACCAAGUCAUACCAAUUCAUAUUAGUUGAAACGAAGGGAGUAAUCAUUACAAAAAUAAGCUGACUUCUUAAGUAUAUCAUUUUUUUUAAUUAUAUACAUCACGCUAAUAUUUGUAUUUCUAUUUUUGCAUCUUUCUUAUUUUAUCUACAAAUGACAAAUACAACGCGAAGUUGAAAAUCACACGUUCAAAAAUUCAAAUUCAAAUGUUAAUCCAUCACGUUCCCACUUCCAGCAAUGAACUAGAGGCUUGCAGACUAGUGUGUGGGGUGUGUAGCUACAUUAUGGCCAUGCUGGCCUAGUUUGUUAGUUUGUUGAAGCUUGUGAGUUGUUUGAUGUAUUGUCUUGACAUAUACAUGCUUUCAGUUUUGGUAUAGAAAUCAUGGUGGCCUCGACGUCCCAAUCAGGGUUUCUGUGCUAGUUUGCUAUUUCUUUAUAUGAACUCUUGGGAGUAGCUGUUUCGUUUAUAGAUCUGUUGACAGGGACCUUGUCGGCCGAGGGCUUAGUUUUAAGCCGAGAUAUACUUGUUUAUUUUAUUGAUUGUGUGUGACUGCCAUAUGCUAGUAGCAAAUAGUUCAGCAGGGUCAGCUCGGGCCUGAGUUUUGGCAUUAGGAGCCAGUUGCGCCCCUUGAGUUUGGGGCGUGACAGUUUUUGUGUGAGUUUUGAAUACUCCCUCGAAAAUUUAUAUGAUUCACUUUUCUUUUGAGUUAUUUCCAAAAAAAUGAAAUAUAUUUUUUAUAUUUAGUAACAAUUUAACUUUAAAAUACUCAUUUUAUUCAUAAUAAAAUAAUUUUUAAUUACACAAAAUAUAUAUGAUUUAUUUUUUUUAAAAAUCUUUUUUUCUUUCGCUCCAUACCAAGUCAUACCAAUUCAUAUUAGUUGAAACGAAGGGAGUAAUCAUUACAAAAAUAAGCUGACUUCUUAAGUAUAUCAUUUUUUUUAAUUAUAUACAUCACGCUAAUAUUUGUAUUUCUAUUUUUGCAUCUUUCUUAUUUUAUCUACAAAUGACAAAUACAACGCGAAGUUGAAAAUCACACGUUCAAAAAUUCAAAUUCAAAUGUUAAUCCAUCACGUUCCCACUUCCAGCAAUGAACUAGAGGCUUGCAGACUAGUGUGUGGGGUGUGUAGCUACAUUAUGGCCAUGCUGGCCUAGUUUGUUAGUUUGUUGAAGCUUGUGAGUUGUUUGAUGUAUUGUCUUGACAUAUACAUGCUUUCAGUUUUGGUAUAGAAAUCAUGGUGGCCUCGACGUCCCAAUCAGGGUUUCUGUGCUAGUUUGCUAUUUCUUUAUAUGAACUCUUGGGAGUAGCUGUUUCGUUUAUAGAUCUGUUGACAGGGACCUUGUCGGCCGAGGGCUUAGUUUUAAGCCGAGAUAUACUUGUUUAUUUUAUUGAUUGUGUGUGACUGCCAUAUGCUAGUAGCAAAUAGUUCAGCAGGGUCAGCUCGGGCCUGAGUUUUGGCAUUAGGAGCCAGUUGCGCCCCUUGAGUUUGGGGCGUGACAGUUUUUGUGUGAGUUUUGAAUACUCCCUCGAAAAUUUAUAUGAUUCACUUUUCUUUUGAGUUAUUUCCAAAAAAAUGAACAUUCUCAGUUCUCACACACCUUUGAAUAUUAUAAUUGAAGCUUUGGGUCUCGCCACAACUUUGCUCUUGUCAUUCAAUUAUUCAGUUUUUUCUAUUGAUUGACAUCAAUUGUUAUUCCAAUUGAAAGUAAGAUGCAAUCUUUAAAUAAUCGUUAAUUAAAUAGAUAAUGGUAUCCAUAAUAUGAGUUUAUCGUUUAAAAGAAUGUAGUGUAAUUGAUAGAACUAACAGUCUGAGACUUCAAGUUACGAUAAGAAUAAAAUCAAGUAGUCUGCUUUCAGCAUAAGCAAGUUGGUAAAACAUGAUGACAUAAUGGAAGUUAUAGUACUAUUUUACAUCAAGAUUGAAUUAAACGUGCUUGUCUGAUUUUUUUUUCUUUUGAAAGGGAUAAGAAACUCAUAGCAGUUUGCUCUACAAAUCUUAAUUUUGAAUGACCAUAAAUCCUUGGAACAGGAUUUAUAUUGAAUCCCAGCCAAUAUACAGAAAGAACCAAACCUUUUUCUGCUUUAUAUCUGCUAGUGUAGUAAGCAUCUUUUCCAAGGCAGUAUUAAAUUCAAUCUUAUGCUUGAUGACACUCAACACCGCCGAAGAAAUUCAUAUCUUCAUUGCAACAAUCACUAAUAUUUUUUACGGGAGAGAAAUUCUGAAGGAUGACUUGAACUAAUAAUACCACCUUUUAAAGGAAAAGAAGUGUCUUCUUUCCUUCAAUACUCAAUGUUGGAAAGGUUCCCCAAGCUUUACUAGCUCAUAGGAUGGACUUGAAUUUUGUUUUCUGAUCGUAAUUCUGCUUAUCAAAGAUCCAUGUCUAGUUUAAAAUUAAAGUUUGGUGUGUUUAUUGCCUUAGUCUAAAUUAUAAGAUCGUCGGUUAAAACUAAUUCCAAUUUUUUGAGACCAGAAUGAAUUUGCUGACUUAAAUGGAUGAUAGUGAUAUGAUUCAAAUAAUUAUUUAUACACACUAGUGAUAUAAUAGAGACUGAUUUCUUUUACAUGUGUCCACCAAAAAUCCUUCUGUUAUGAUAGUAGUUGGUUUCUUUAAUUUGUUAUUUGAGCAAAAUGUAACUGGUUUGUUCAGUGCGUUGAAUCAAUGAGGAUGCAUUUGAAUUAAGCUGCAAUUCAGAAGAGUGAAGUUUGAUACUUAUUUUCAUUUGUAAAAUUUUGUAAUGCAGAUUUCCUUGAAACCCUAUGGAGGGAUGUUGAUAUGAACAGGCACCAUCACAAUCCUAAUAAGGAGUUGAAUCUUGUAAUUGUAUCCCAUGGUCUAGCUAGUCAAGUUUUUCUAAUGAAGUGGUUCAAGUGGACAGUGGAACAAUUCGAGUACCUAAACAAUCUAGGGAAUUGUGAGUUUCGAGUUAUGGAAUUAGGGGCGGGUGGUGAAUAUAGCCUAGCAGUCCAUCAUACUGAUGAAGAGAUGCUAGAAUGGGGUAUGUCCCCUGAGAUGAUCGCUGACCAAAAAUGGCGAGCUAAUGCUAACAGGGGUACUUUGAAUGAUCAUUGCCCUUGGUACCUUGAUGCUUUCUUUGACCAUUUAGCGGAUUCAAAUGACAAAGAUGAUGAAGAUGUGAAGUCAAACAACUAGUAUCUCCCCUUAGCAUGACAUUGAUAAUGUGUAUUCGUUCCAAUUCUGUUGUACUGUUCAUUUGGUUAACUGAUAGAAAUGUUUGUAAGCUCUUUUCAAGUUGUUGUUACAAUUUUAUGCCCGGAGGCAUUAUCAGUGUCAAUUUCUUGUAAAUUUGAAACUUUCAAUUGUAUAACAAUCAUUUGAUAUCAAGGAUGAAGUAUGAAUUUAGUUUUUGACUGGUAAAAUUAUGAUUUUUAAACAGGAUGAAGAUUGAUUUAGUUUUGACAGGGUCAAGUUACAAGUUUUAGACCAGUUUUCACUGCUGAGGUCGUUGUUUUAACUGACGUAUAAUGGAAGGUAAUGCAGAGUUGAAAGGACUUUGCAUUGAAAUUCACCUUAUCAAGUUCUCUCGAGUCUAAUUCUGAAAACUUUGACCAAUGACCAUUAUUUUGACAUGGAAUGAAAAAUUGCCACAUAUAAUUUUUUAAUAUCUAAAUUAAAAUUUUAAGGUAUUGAAUUGAUUCAAAGCUUAUAAGUCAAUUAAACUGACUUAUAAACAUUCAAAAUGCUUAUGAGCCAAAAUCAACAAAAGUCAUUAGUAAUCGACCUCAACUUAUUAUUUCUUCAGAUUAUAAGCACUUUUAGUUAUCGAGCCUUCACUCUUAUGCAAUAGUUUGCAAACCACACAAGAGAGGUAAUUCGCACUAGGUAAACCCAGUGCGACAAGCUCGACCCAGAAAACAAAUCCCUUGCUUUCAGUGGCAAGAGAUUUCAAACUUGAGACCUCCAAUAUGAAAGUCUCAAGCCCAAACCACUAGGUUACUCGAAGAGUCAUUUUAUAAAUAAAUUUUCAAAAACAAAACUUCUAACUUCCCUCCAUCCCAUAUACACCAUUCAUCCUUUUCCUAACGAAAAUAUUUUUAUAUUUAUAAUUUGUAAUAAAGAAAGGAUGAAAAAUAAUAUGUUAAUCAUUUAUUUAUUAAAUUAAUUUUAAUACUAGAAAAAUUCUUAUGAACACGUAAUGUUUAAUAAUUUUCAUAUAUACUUCCCUGGUUGUAUAUGAGUUGAAUAAAAAAUAUCAAAUGAACGGUUGUUUUCAAACGAACUUUUUUAAGUAUCAGAUUCUUUGUAGGUGAUUUUCAUGUAAUUUCACAAAUUUGGAACUUAGCUCAUACGCUAAAAGAAUGCCGCGUGGGACAUAUAACUCUUAGCUUGACUCAAUUUUUAAUUACUCUCUAGUCAAGUCUAGUCCUUCAAUAUGCCAACAAAAACGACAUAUACGAAUAAAAAAAAGGACAAAAAAAUGUAAAUUGACUUCAUUAAUUAAGGAAGUCUUUUAAUAAUUCAUUGUAAUUAUUUAUUUGCUAAAAGCUUAUGUGGAACUGUAAACAUAUGUAUAAUUAAUUAUCUAAUGCAAAUAUAAAUGAAAACUUUUCACGCAUGCAAUGUAGUUGUAUAAUUAAUAAGGGAAACAUACUUUAUUAUUUAUGGUAAAUUAACAGAAGGAUAUUCUCUUAUGAGUUAAUUAAUUAUCGUAAUUAAUUUUUUCCAUCUUCUAAAGAAAAUGACUUGAAAAGAUGUAAUUAACUUGAAUAUCUAAUUAGUUAAGGUAACUUCAAUUAAGAAACUUUGCCGUAUGUUUAGGGCCACAAUAUAAUUCUCCAUGCAGGACAACGUAAAAUUAAUCAAUAUUGCGACAGGUCUCCUACUUGUCUACCACAAAAAAAAAAAUUAAAAAAAAUAAUGACACAGAAGAUGCCAACAUGAGCAUGUGAGGAGGUUCCGAUAGUGCAGUGCAGUGGUACGUCGUAAGGGAUUUUGAAUUUGAGUCUUAGUAUAAAAUUGUUUUUGAUAAAGAAGGUUUUAUUUCUAAAUUAGUUAAAUUUUCUAAUAUAAAUUCAAAUUAGUUGGACUCUAAAAUAAUUAUCAAACACUGAGUUAAGAAAAAGAGAGGAACAUGUGGGGAAGUUCUUGGAACGUUACAUAUUUUGUUCUCAUCAGAAUAUUUAGGCAUUAUUAUUGUAUUCGUUAAGAGAGCAUGUUAGACUUUACUAGUUCUUUAAAGGAUAUUCGUAAGGUAUAUUGUUCAAUAUAAACUUUGUUUUGUUGGACAUAUAUAAAUUAUAUUUAGUAUGAUAUUUUCUCAAUUUAUAUGAUAUUUUUUCUGAUAUAUUGUUUCAAUUAAAAUGACGUCUUUUUAUAUUUUAAGUAUUUUUUUAAUUUAUCAUUAAUUAAAUGAAUUAUAGAUAUAAAAAUUUCUAUGACUUACUUACAUCCAAGUUUAAUAACUUCUUUUAACAUUUCACAUCAAAUUAAACAAGAUGGAUAACUAUUUUUUAAGCCUUGUUUGCGAGGAAAACUUAUACUACUUACUUUUCAUUUUACGAUCUCGACAUUUUAUAAUAUGUUAGUUAUUAUCAAAUUGAAAUUUAUGAUAUAAAAAGACUUACUAUACGUAAGACUAUUACAAGUCAUUUAUUUAAUUGUAUUCAUAUCUUUUAUUCUGUGCAUUGAAUAUAAACUCUGCGAAUAUUAUAGGUCUACGAAGACUCGGAUGCUCAGUCAAAGUUGCAUCACCUUCAUUUUCAAACUAUACAAAAAAAAAAAAUUAAAAAAAUCUAUAUAUGAGAAAAUGAAAAAUAGUCUUAUAUAUGUGAGAAUAUGUAUAAAAUAGUCCCUAAAGUUUAAUUUUAAUAGUUUUGGUUCUUUAAGUUUAUCAAAGGUUAAUACUUUUGAUUUCGUCAAAUAUUUAACGUACUUAAAAUGUUAAUACUUUUGAUUUUGUCAAAUAUUUAACGAACUUUAGUAAUUUGAUGAGAUAUACGAAGUAUUUUUUAAUCAUAAGAGUAAGAAAGUCUCAUGAAAUCCUAAAAAUCGCAAUAUAAAAAACUACACUAGAUAAAAAUUGUACAAAACAACACACCAAAUUCUAGAAAGAAACCAAAACUUACAAAAAUAGUAACUCCAAACGCAAUUCCCACUAAAAAAAAUAUUGCUUUCAUAGUUUCCGUCAAAUCAGACAAAAAGUAAUACCAACUCUUUGCAAACUUUAGGGACCAAAACAGUUGAAAUCAUCAUACUUUAGGGACUAUUUAUCAUUUUUUUCACUAUUUGGCCUUUUUUCAUGUAUAUAAACCAUGUGAACUUCGUGCAUGAUAUAUCACCGAAAUAACACAAACAUCAAUAGAAGUUGAAAGCAUGCUAGGGUUCUGAAAGUGUUCUAGAUUCAUAAAACAACUCUCUCUGUCACUGUCGCCGGAGAUUAUUAUUUCCCGAUCUGAUCGAAAGCAGGUCACCGGGAACAAUGGCGUUAGCUUUCGAUGAAUUCGGAAGGCCGUUUAUAAUACUAAGGGAGCAAGAACAAAAAACUAGAUUAAGAGGCCUCGAUGCUCAGAAGGCCAACAUUUCUGCCAGAAAAGCUGUUGCACGUAUUUUACGUACCUCACUUAGUCCUAAAGGCAUGGAUAAGAUGCUUCAGAGCCCUGACGGCGAUGUCACCAUCACAAAUGAUGGUGCCACCAUUUUGGAGCAGAUGGAUGUUGACAAUCAGAUUGGAAAGUUGAUGAUUGAGUUGUCACGAAGUCAAGAUUAUGAAAUUGGCGAUGGAACCACUGGAGUUGUUGUCAUGGCUGGGGCACUGCUAGAACAAGCUGAGAAGUUGUUAGAACGUGGUAUUCAUCCUAUUUGGAUUGCAGAAGGGUAUGAAAUGGCUUCAAGGAUUGCAGUUGAGCAUUUGGAGCGUGUAGCACAUAAGAUUGAAUUCGGUCUGAAUGACAUUGAGCCUUUGGUUCAAACUUGCAUGACUACUUUGUCAUCUAAGAUUGUGAAUAGAUGAUGCAAACGUAGCAUGGCUGAAAUUGCUGUUAAAGCUGUUUUAGCAGUUGCUGAUUUAGAGAGGAAGGAUGUAAACCUGGACUUGAUCAAAGUUGAAGGGAAAGUUGGUGGGAAGUUAGAGGACACAGAGCUAAUUUAUGGUAUUAUAGUUGACAAAGAUAUGAGUCAUCCACAGAUGCCAAAGCAAAUUGAGGAUGCGAAAAUUGCAAUUUUGACAUGUCCUUUUGAGCCUCCUAAGCCAAAGACUAAGCAUAAGGUUGACAUUGAUACUGUGGAGAAGUUUCAAACUUUACGCCUACAGGAGCAGAAGUACUUUGAUGACAUGGUCCAGAAGUGCAAGGAUGUUGGUGCUACCUUAGUUAUCUGCCAGUGGGGUUUUGAUGAUGAAGCUAAUCACUUAUUAAUGCAUAGAAAUUUGCCCGCUGUUAGAUGGGUAGGUGGUGUGGAAUUGGAGCUGAUAGCAAUUGCCACAGGUGGGAGAAUAGUACCAAGGUUUCAAGAGUUGACAUCUGAAAAACUUGGCAAGGCUGGUAUUGUUCGGGAGAAAGCUUUCGGUACAACAAAGGAUAGAAUGAUUUACAUUGAGCAUUGUGCAAAUUCAAGAGCAGUAACUAUAUUUAUCCGUGGUGGCAAUAAGAUGAUGAUAGUGGAGACAAAACGUAGUAUCCAUGAUGCUUUAUGUGUUGCUAGAAAUCUUAUUCGCAACAAUUCAAUUGUGUAUGGUGGUGGUUCAGCAGAGAUUUCUUGCUCAAAUGCUGUUGAAGCGGCUGCUGAUAAACAUCCAGGAGUUGAACAGUAAGCAAUCAGGGCAUUUGCAGAUGCUUUGGAUUCUGUCCUAAUGGCACUUGCUAAGAACAGUGGUCUUCAGCCUAUUGAAACUCUAUCUGCUGUUAAGUCUCAGCAAAUUAAGGAGAAUAUUCCCUGCUGUGGAAUAGAUUGUAAUGAUGUUGGCACAAAUGACCAUAAAUCCUUGAACAGGAUUUCUAUUGAAUCCCAGCCAAUAUACAGAAAGAACCAAACCUUAUUCUGCUUUAUAUCUACUAGUGUAGUAAGCAUCUUUUCCAAGGCAGUAUUAAAUUCAAUCUUAUGCUUGAUGACACUCAACACCGCCGAAGAAAUUCAUAUCUUCAUGGCAACAAUCACUAAUAUUUUUACGAGAGAAAUUCUGAAGGAUGACUUGAACUAAUAAUAUCACCUUUUAAAGGAUAAAAGUGUCUUCUUUCCUUCAAUACUCAAUGUUGGAAAGGUUCCCCAAGCUUUACUAGCUCAUAGGAUGGACUUGAAUUUUGUUUUCUGAUCGUAAUUCUGCUUAUCAAAGAUCCAUGUCUAGUUUAAAAUUAAAGUUUGGUGUGUUUAUAGCCUUAAUCUAAAUUAUAAGAUCGUCGGUUAAAACUAAUUCAAAUUUUUUGAGACCAGAAUGAAGUUGCUGACUUAAAUGGAUGAUAGUGAUAUAAUUCAAAUACUUAUUAUUUUAUACACACUAGUGAUAUAAUAAAGACUGAUUUCUUUUACAUGUGUCCACCAAAAAUCCUUCUGUUAUGGUAGUAGUUGGUUUCUUUAAUUUGCUAUUUGAGCAAAAUGUUACUGGUUUGUUCAGUGCAUUGAAUCAAUGAGGAUGCAUUUGAAUUAAGCUGCAAUUCAGAAGAGUGAAGUUUGAUACUUAUUUUCAUUUGUAAAAUUUUGUAAUGCAGAUUUCCUUGAAACUCUAUGGAGGGAUGUUGAUAUGAACAGGCACCAUCACAAUCCUAAUGAGGAGUUGAAUCUUGUAAUUGUAUCCCAUGGUCUAGCUAGUCGAGUUUUUCUAAUGAAGUGGUUCAAGUGGACAGUGGAACAAUUCGAGUACCUAAACAAUCUAGGGAAUUGUGAGUUUCGAGUUAUGGAAUUAGGGGCGGGUGGUGAAUAUAGCCUAGCAGUCCAUCAUACUGAUGAAGAGAUGCUAGAAUGGGGUAUGUCCCCUGAGAUGAUCGCUGACCAAAAAUGGCGAGCUAAUGCUAACAGGGGUACUUUGAAUGAUCAUUGCCCUUGGUACCUUGAUGCUUUCUUUGACCAUUUAGCGGAUUCAAAUGAUGAAGAUGUGAAGUCAAACAACUCGUAUCUCCCCUUAGCAUGACAUUGUUAACGUGUAUUCGUUCCAAUUCUGUUGUACUGUUCAUUUGGUUAACUGAUAGAAAUGUUUGUAAGCUCUUUUCAAGUUGCUGUUACAAUUUUAGGCCCGGCGGCAUUAUCAGUGUCAAUUUCUUGUAAAUUUGAAACUUUCAAUUGUAUAACAAUCAUUUGAUAUCUAGGAUGAAGUAUGAAUUUAGUUUUUGACUGGUAAAAUUAUGAUUUUUAAACAGGAUGAAGAUUGAUUUAGUUUUGACAGGUUCAAGUUACAAGUUUUAGACCAGUUUUCACUGCUGAGGUCGUUGUUUUAACUGACGUAUAAUGGAAGGUAAUUGCAAAGUUGAAAUUCACCUUAUCAAGUUCUCUCGAGUCUAAUUCUGAAAACUUUGACCAAUGACCAUUAUUUUGACAUGGAAUGAAAAAUUGCUACAUAUAAUUUUUAAAUAUCUAAAUUAAAAUUUUAAGAUAUUGAAUUGAUUCAAAGCUUAUAAGUCGAUUAAACUGACUUAUAAACAUUCAAAAUGCUUAUGAGCCAAAAUCAACAAAAGUCAUUAGUAAUCAACCUCAACUUAUUAUUUCUUCAGAUUAUAAACAAUUUUAGUUUUUCGAGCCUUUACUCUUAUGUAAUAGCUUGCAUACCACACAAGAGAGGUAAUUCGCACUAGGUAAACCCGGUGCGACAAGCUCGACCCAGAAAACAAAUCCCUUGCUUUCAGUGGCAAGAGAUUUCAAACUUAAGACCUCCAAUAUGAAAGUCUCAAGCCCAAACCACUAAGUUAGUCGAAGAGUCAUUUUAUAAAUAAAUUUUCAAAAACAAAACUUCUAACUUCCCUCCAUCCCAUAUACACCAUUCAUCCUUUUCCUAACGAAAAUAUUUUUAUAUUUAUAAUUUGUAAUAAAGAAAGGAUGAAAAAUAAUAUGUUAAUCAUUUAUUUAUUAAAUUAAUUUUAAUACUAGAAAAAUUCUUAUGAACACGUAAUGUUUAAUAAUUUUCAUAUAUACUUCCCUGGUUGUAUAUGAGUUGAAUAAAAAAUAUCAAAUGAAUGGUUGUUUUCAAACGAACUUUUUUAAGUAUGAGAUUCUUUGUAGGUGAUUUUCAUGUAAUUUCACAAACUUGGAACUUAGCUCAUACGCUAAAAGAAUGCCGCGUGGGACAUAUAACUCUUAGCUUGACUCAACUUUUAAUUAAUCUCUAGUCAAGUCUAGUCCUUCAAUAUGCCAACAAAAACGACAUAUACGAAUAAAAAAAAGGACCAAAAAAAUGUAAAUUGACUUCAUUAAUUAAGGAAGUCUUUUAAUAAUUCAUUGUAAUUACUUAUUUGCUAAAAGCUUAUGUGGAACUGUAAACAUAUGUAUAAUUAAUUACCUAAUGAAAAUAUAAAUGAAAACUUUUCACGCAUGCAAUGUAGUUGUAUAAUUAAUAAGGGAAACGUACUUUAUUAUUUAUGGUAAAUUAACAGAAGGAUAUUCUCUUGUGAGUUAAUUAAUUAUCGUAAUUAAUUUUUUCCAUCUUCUAAAGAAAAUGACUUGAAAAAUAUCUAAUUAGUUAAGGUAACUUCAAUUAAGAAACUUUGCCGUAUGUUUAGGGCCACAAUAUAAUUCUCCAUGCAGGACACGUAAAAUUAAUUAAUAUUGCGACAGGUCUCCUACUUGUCUACCACAAAAAAAAAAAAAAAAAAAUAAUGACACAGAAGAUGCCAACAUGAGCAUGUGGGGAGGUUACGAUAGUGCAGUCCAGUGGUAAGUCGUAAGGGAUUUUGAAUUUGAGUCUUUAGUAUAAAGUUGUUUUUGAUAAAGAAUGUUUUAUUUUUAAAUUAGUAGAAUUUUCUAAUAUAAAUUUAAAUUAAUUGGACUCUAAAAUAAUUAUCGAACACUGAGUUAAAAAAAAAGAGAGGAACAUGUGGGGAAGUUCUUGGAACGUUACAUAUUUUGUUCUCAUCAGAAUAUUUAGGCAUUAUUAUUGUAUUCGUUAAGAGAGCAUAUUAAACUUUACUAGUUCUUUAAAGGAUAUUCGUAAGGUAUAUUAUUCAAUAUAAACUUUGUUUUGUUGGACAUAUAUAAAUUAUAUUUAGUAUUAUAUUUUCUCAAUUUAUAUGAUAUUUUUUCUGAUUUACUGUUUCAAUUAAAAUGACGUCUUUUUAUAUUUUAAGUAUUUUUUUUAAUUUAUCAUUAAUUAAAUGAAUUAUAGAUAUAAAAAUUUCUAUGACUUACUUACAUCCAAGUUUAAUAACUUCUUUUAACAUUUCACAUCAAAUUAAACAAGAUGGAUAACUAUUUUUUAAGCCUUGUUUGCGAGGAAAACUUAUACUACUUACUUUUCAUUUUACGAUCUCGACAUUUUAUAAUAUGUUAGUUAUUAUCAAAUUGAAAUUUAUGAUAUAAAAAGACUUACUAUACGUAAGACUAUUACAAGUCAUUUAUUUAAUUGUAUUCAUAUCUUUUAUUCUGUGCAUUGAAUAUAAACUUUGCGAAUAUUAUAGGUCUACGAAGACUCGGAUGCUCAGUCAAAGUUGCAUCACCUUCAUUUUCAAACUAUACAAAAAAAAAAAAUUAAAAAAAUCUAUAUAUGAGAAAAUGAAAAAUAGUCUUAUAUAUGUGAGAAUAUGUAUAAAAUAGUCCCUAAAGUUUAAUUUUAAUAGUUUUGGUUCUUUAAGUUUAUCAAAGGUUAAUACUUUUGAUUUCGUCAAAUAUUUAACGUACUUAAAAUGUUAAUACUUUUGAUUUUGUCAAAUAUUUAACGAACUUUAGUAAUUUGAUGAGAUAUACGAAGUAUUUUUUAGUCAUAAAAGUAAGAAAGUCUCAUCAAAUCCUAAAAAUCUCAAUAUAAAAAACUACACUAGAUAAAAUUUGUACAAAACAAUACACCAAAUUCUAGAAAGAAACCAAAACUUACAAAAAUAGUAACUCCAAACGCAAUUCCCACUAAAAAAAAUAUUGCUUUCAUAGUUUCCGUCAAAUCAGACAAAAAGUAAUACCAACUCUUUGCAAACUUUAGGGACCAAAACAGUUCAAAUCAUCAUACUUUAGGGACAAUUUUGUUAUCAUUUUUUUCACUAUUUGGCCUUUUUUCAUGUAUAUAAACCAUGUGAACUUCGUGCAUGAUAUAUCACCGAAAUAACACAAACAUCAAUAGAAGUUCAUUACUGGUCUUUCUCUUUAAUACCCUUUUGUUCCUAUUAUCUGCUCAAAUGUCUCUCGUCAAAAUUCAAACCAACACUCAUUUGCCCAAACGCAUAAUCCUGGUCCGUCACGGCGAGUCUUCAGGAAACGCCGACAGAAAUGUGCGCGGAACAACUCCAACUCACAAAUUUGAACUGACGGAGAAAGGGAUUGAGCAGGCCAAGCAAACUGGAAUCCGAAUUAAGAAACUGAUUUCUGAAAAUGAUAACAAUUGGAAGGUUUUCUUCUAUGUUUCGCCUUUAGAGCGAACGAGAAAGACGUUGAGAGAGAUCGGCGGAUCGUUCCCAACGAGGAGAGUGAUGGGUGUGAAGGAAGAGCCUAGGCUGAGAGAUUUGAAUUUUGGAAACUAUCAUGACCCUGCAAGUAUAGGAAAGAUUAAGAAGGAACGAGUAACGUAUGGGAGGUUUUAUUAUAGAGUACCUGGUGGUGAAACUGGAGCUGAAGUUUAUGAUCGUAUAUCAGGUCAGUUCUAUUGGUUUUUUCUACGACUUAAUGGUCAAAAUCACAAUUCAAUAUUGUUUUUUUCUCUACCCUAAUUUGUUUCCUUUUUCUACUUACAUGAUAAUAAUUCAUAGUUGAGGUGUGUUUUGUUACUGGUGAUAGUUCAAAUGGGAAAAGAGAACAAUUCAUAGUUAGUUAGAAUAUAAUAUUCGCAAAAAAAUGAUAAUUUAGAUAUGUAUUUGGCGAAAAAGUUAUAAUUCUGAACAGGGUGCUUGUUUGUCGUUGUUAUGCAUUUGAAGUGCUCUGUUUUUCAUUUUAAUUUCUUGAACAUAGUUUAGAUGUUUCUUUUCCUUCUUGAGCUAUAUAUAUGUUACCUUGACAUUUAAUUGAAGUGUAUAUUUAAGUAAACACGAUCUUAAUUUAUUGACUAGAAAUAAUAUGAUUUGACUUUUUUACAGUUUAUAAGCUGAAAGUCGUCUCCUUAUGAAAAAGUUAUAAUAAUAAUAAUAAGGAAGUAAAUUAGGUGGUGACUUUAAAGGAACAUAUACUAAGAUUUCUUGUACUAUCAAUAUAAUUCAACACAUUUAAUCGAGUUUAAGUUACAAACAUCAAUGGUGUAAGAAACCCUUCCACUCAUUCAAAGGAUGUCUAUAAGUAAGCCUCGUCCUGAUGAUGAUAUAACCUAAACUCUUUCCUAGACUACCAAUCAAUAUAUGUUAUGUAGAGAUUUGAUUAUAAUAAUUACCUUAGUCGUAAAUAAUAAGAUGAUUGUGUAAAUAUUUUCAAGACGAAUAGUAUAGUAAUAACAUAAACUCAUACUAUAACAAUAUGUAGGUUAUAUUGAAUGCUUGAGGAGGGACAUAGAAAUGAAGAAAUUCGUCUGUCAUGAUCCUUGUCAAGAAACCAACAUCAUCAUUGUUACCCAUGGACUAUCCAGUCGGAUCUUCCUCAUGAAAUGGUUCGACUGGACGAUUGAGCAGUUUGAGGAUCUCAAUAGGAUGAAACCUAGUGAAUUUCAAGUGUUGCAAUUAGGGCAUGGCGGGGAAUACAGCCUAGCAUUUCAUCAUGAUGACAAAAAACUUCACGAAUGGGGACUAUCUCCUGAUAUGAUAGAGGAUCAAAAAUGUAAAGCUUAUGGUCCUACAGGAGUUAAAUGGCAGGGAACUUGUGAUUCCUAUCCUUUCAUGGAUUGUUUUGCAGAAGAUUCAGAUGAUGAGAAUACUAU